RNAcentral lists this ribosomal RNA (786 nucleotides) under Bacillus sp. mf8-1. RNAcentral describes it as "bacterial SSU rRNA". It matches the Rfam family "Bacterial small subunit ribosomal RNA", at positions 56 to 825 of the family's 1533-position model. Lineage: Bacteria; Bacillati; Bacillota; Bacilli; Caryophanales; Bacillaceae. RNAcentral also lists the same sequence under 1 other name. The record is from RNAcentral.
UGCAGUCGAGCGGACAGAUGGGAGCUUGCUCCCUGAUGUUAGCGGCGGACGGGUGAGUAACACGUGGGUAACCUGCCUGUAAGACUGGGAUAACUCCGGGAAACCGGGGCUAAUACCGGAUGGUUGUUUGAACCGCAUGGUUCAAACAUAAAAGGUGGCUUCGGCUACCACUUACAGAUGGACCCGCGGCGCAUUAGCUAGUUGGUGAGGUAACGGCUCACCAAGGCAACGAUGCGUAGCCGACCUGAGAGGGUGAUCGGCCACACUGGGACUGAGACACGGCCCAGACUCCUACGGGAGGCAGCAGUAGGGAAUCUUCCGCAAUGGACGAAAGUCUGACGGAGCAACGCCGCGUGAGUGAUGAAGGUUUUCGGAUCGUAAAGCUCUGUUGUUAGGGAAGAACAAGUACCGUUCGAAUAGGGCGGUACCUUGACGGUACCUAACCAGAAAGCCACGGCUAACUACGUGCCAGCAGCCGCGGUAAUACGUAGGUGGCAAGCGUUGUCCGGAAUUAUUGGGCGUAAAGGGCUCGCAGGCGGUUUCUUAAGUCUGAUGUGAAAGCCCCCGGCUCAACCGGGGAGGGUCAUUGGAAACUGGGGAACUUGAGUGCAGAAGAGGAGAGUGGAAUUCCACGUGUAGCGGUGAAAUGCGUAGAGAUGUGGAGGAACACCAGUGGCGAAGGCGACUCUCUGGUCUGUAACUGACGCUGAGGAGCGAAAGCGUGGGGAGCGAACAGGAUUAGAUACCCUGGUAGUCCACGCCGUAAACGAUGAGUGCUAAGUGUUA